Long non-coding RNA from Glycine soja, 447 nucleotides. RefSeq lists it as uncharacterized. The transcript is spliced from 2 exons. The record is from RefSeq and is a predicted model, not a curated record. NCBI's taxonomy places the organism in Eukaryota, Viridiplantae, Streptophyta, Magnoliopsida, Fabales, Fabaceae.
AUUAUUAUUAUUAUUAUUAUAUCAACUGGAUUUCUCAUGUUAGUUGUUUUUGUUCAGGGAUUCGCUUGGAGAAAGGGUCUUUUGCAGCUCAGCAACAUAAACAACACGAUCAAGAAGAAAGCAAUUUGUUGAAAAAAACUAAUAAUGGUGCUAACAAGGAAGCUAUUGUCUGCAAAGAUGAACAAUAUUGCACGGGUACACUGAAGAAAAGAGCCUCUAGAGUAUCCAGAAAACCAAAGAACCAGUUACCCCACAUUCAUGAAGAUUAUAGUGGACCAAGACAUCAUAGACCUAGGCACCAUUAGUUUAAUUUCUAGCCCAGAAAUUUAUUUUUCUUUGUUAUUUUGUUAUAACACAAGCAUAUUCUUCCGAAACCCUAACAAAGGAGACCUUGUAAUUCUUGAUUCAAAUUUCCCACCAUGAAGAUGACACAUCUAAUUUUGUGGU